This 3561-nucleotide long non-coding RNA is filed under the name Nicotiana tabacum (common tobacco). RNAcentral's name for it is "long non-coding RNA (NTAB_LNC001606)". The record is from RNAcentral. Lineage: Eukaryota; Viridiplantae; Streptophyta; Magnoliopsida; Solanales; Solanaceae.
AAAUAAUUCAAAUGUAUAUACUUGAAAUAAACUUCAACAAAAAAAAUAUAAUUUGCGUAGUACUAUACCCAUACUAAUAAAGCACUACUAUUUCAAGAAGUUCACAAGCAAUGAACUUUACAAAACCGAAUGUAUUUCAUCAAAUAAUAAUAAAUUGAAAAUUAAAUUUUGAACAUUAUUUAGGUCAAUAAAAAUUAUCUAGGCCAAAUUAAAUUUUGAACUUUGGGAAUCCUUGAGCAGUACCUUCUCCCCAACCAUGUAAGCAACAUCACAGACCUUCCUAUUGGCAUAACUCUUCUGUCUAGAGUGCACUAUGCGAAGCCGUUCCUGAAUCAUCUUAACCUUAUCCAAAGCAUCCCGGACCAAGUCAGUACCCAUUAGCCAACGCCUCUAAGUCAGAAUCCGGGCUAGAAACGACGCAUGCAUCCGUCGUCCGCUUGCCGACCGGCAGUAGGGGCCACAAUAUCAAUAACAAUAAACGUCACAAUUGUUCAAAAAGUAUGCAUCAUUCACGUCAAUAGGUCAAAUUGAUUUGUGGCCACAUUUUUAAUUGCAUCACUCGCAUUUUCCUGCACAUUCAAAAUGAAAUUAAAAAUUAGAAAAAAAAACCUAUAUAUAGUAUGCAUUGGUUAUAGCAACAUGUCUUACUAAUAACUAAUGAGGUUUAUUUCACUACUAAAACAUAACUAAGUCAAACACAAAAAAAGAGGUGCAAGCUAAGGAGAAGCAAAGUUGUGAAUUAAUAACUUGCUUACAUCCCAAAAUCACAGAAUGCUUUGCCUCGAUUUCGAUAUGAGCACAUGCAUAAUAAUAGUGAGAUUUGGAAAAGACAAGGAUUUCAACGUAUCCUACACUUGAAAGAGGUCAAAGAAUAUUCUAAUUCCCUUCAAAAGGUUUAGUACUUUGUGUAAGGGCAUAUUAUACCAAUUAUAUUCGUGAAAUAUAUUUUCCUUCCAUUCAUUCAUAACUCCUGUUAUUAUGUAAUGGAAUCAUCAAAAGCAAAUAGUUUAGAAAAACAUGGUCUUAUAAGUUUAGAGUGUGAAAUAUAAAUAUCUUUUCAAGACUCGGAGCAUGAGUUGAGCCAGAAGAAUGUGAUAGAUUUUGGCCACUCAUUCCUCGUACACUACUUGCAUCAACGGGUGAAGGAAGAUUAGAUCCGGCACACCCUUGUAUAUCAUGAAUAUUUAGUCCAGGGUUAUUUUGUACCAUUUGAACAAAAAAAUAUCGCAUUUCUUCUCUCAUUAUUUCCUUCAUUUCUUCCUUCAAAGAAGUUAUUUCAUUAGCAUGCUUUUGUUGAAGCUUGCUGAUUUCCUCAUCUUUUUUCAGAGAUCUUAUCGUCACCGAUCUACCAUAGCAUCUAACCGGACCAGGUUGCUCGUUUCCAAACACAAUCUUAAAUGCAUCAUCUGCUGUUUCUUGAAACUUUGACGAUUUUGAAGUUCAGACCGUUAAAAAGAAAUAUUACUGAAUAUCACUUAGUGGAUAUGCUAUAGAAAGUAAAAAAUAAUAACAUUUGAAUACAGAAAUGGAGCAGCUAUGCCGAAUAUUGUGUAGAAAUACAGUUGAAAAAUGCAAAAAUCCAGAAAGGCAGUGCAAAAAUAUAGAAGCACAUAGCAUACUGUGCUAGUGUGCUUAAUAGAACAAGUAAAGUUUCAACUGAACCUUUUGGAAUGUAAUACAUAUACUGAUUAGAGAAGUGGAAAUCAGUCUCCUUUGGUACCAGGUGACAGAUUUUCAGCUCCUCUGUGAUUUGAAAUUACCAUUACAUGACAGAAUUCUCAUAAUUUAUUGCUUAGUUAAUUCACUGCUUGUUACUUCUUUUCACAUCACUUAUUUUGCUAUUCUGGAAUCCGUAUGUAGCGAGUCCAUGCAUUAUAACUUCUGAUGGCUUUGUUGUAACCUAUGAAUGGUAAGAGACAUAACAACUUUAAGGAGUGUUUGAUUAUAGUAGUAUGACAUAUUUGUGGUAUAGAGGGAGUAAGUUUAUUUGGACUGACAAAAAGAAGAAACACGAACUAACCUAAUCCUUGAAAGAUUGAAUCGAUGUCUUGCCAAAAAUAGGAAAAUCUUGAUAAUACCAGUAGAUGACAGCUUAGUCAUGCUACGGAACUUAACUUCUUCCUCCUAGUAAAAUCUUUUUUCUUCUUCCACCUGAUAAAUAUAGAUAAUUUUCAGACAUGACCAACUUCAACUCAGUUCUGUACAAGUCCACACAUGUGAAUUGUGACCCCCACCUUCUAAAUGACCAUCCAAAAUAGCAGGAAUUCUCUUAACUUAAACACAAAUUUCACAUGUAGGUGUCAUAUGUGGAAGGGUAAAAAUUAGCUGAAGUAAUACUUACUUUGUCAAACACUAAUCACGUGGUAGAAAUUAUCUAAAAUAUGUUUUGACCAGAUCUGAUCAACUCUUUCUCGGCAACUUCACAGCCAACUUUCAGUAGCACAGAAAUAAAUCUCACAAUCUGCAAUUAAAAAGAAUAUCGAUAAGAACACAAAGAUAAAGGCUGACCUGAGAUUGUCAACUUAAUAAUUUAGCAAAGCUGCAAAGAUAAUUGGACAUAUAUGCUAAGAUUCUCUACUCAGCUUCUAUUUCACAUACUAAAAGCUGAUAAGAGAAGAUCAUAUUACGAAGUAUAUAACUUUGGAUAUCUUUUUGGCAUAACAUUAUUCAAAUAUAAAAUGAUCAAAUUGUAGAACAAUUGAAAGAUCAGCUCAUUGAAAUAGUAUAAUUUCUUAGUUUAAUUAUACGCCCUUAGUUGUAUAAAUAAGUAAAAAAAAAUGAUCUCAUGCUGCGUCUUCAAAAUCAAACUCAUCUUCUGAUAUCAAGGAAUAUUGAUUAAUACUCGAGCACAUAAAGGAGAAAAGCUCAUAGAAACAGAAAUACCUCUACGAAAUUUUAUAGUAUUAGAAAUUUAAUACGUCUAUCAAGUGAUUGCAAAUCAGAACAAACCAAAAGAAGAACUAAGGAAAUAGAAUUUUACACCCCAAGAAAACUCAAAUAUUAACUCUCAAACAAGAAUUCUGGUCAAGCGAUUUGCGUGUGACUAUCAUCUCUGACAAGGCUAUCCAAAAAUAGUUGACGAUUGAGUUUACUGGAGGUCGAACGGUGUUGUUGUUACAUAUUAUGUUACCUCAAAGUAUAGUGGAUAGCAGUUAAAGCUAGCUGCCUUAACUGAUUAGGGUAGGAAAACAAAACUUAGCAGAUGCCUCCCUUAAUCAUAAAAGAGUAAGAUAGCCCAUUUUGAGCUAAGAAGUUAUAAGAAUUGAGAACAAUACCAGUUUUGACUUAUGAGCUGUGAGAUUGUCAUAUUAGCUUAUAUAUAUGAUACUUUGAGUUUCACUACACUUACUUGAUAGCAUGCAUGUCUCUUUAAAAGUUAUUUUUGAGGGACCAGCCCCAAAAUAAAAUAUUAAUUCAAAGAAAGAAAAUAACAAGUUGCAAUGGCAACUUGUUUGCGAUAAGGGCGGCUAAAAUAAAGUUGCAAGUUGCAACAAGACCAAAACAGAAAUAAUUCUGGACGAUGCAAAUUGCAAAGAACAAAGCAUUUUUAUUGGUUGAAAG